GGCGGCGUGCUUACACAUGCAAGUCGAACGAGAAAUCUUUAACUUGCUAGAGAAAGUAAAGUGGCGCACGGGUGAGUAACGCGUGGGUAAUCUGCCUCCGAAUCGGGGAUAGGAUUGCGAAAGCGAUGCUAAUACCGGAUAAAAUCUGGUUGGCUUCGGUGAACCGGAUCAAAGGUGGUCUCUUUAUAAAAGCUACCGUUUGGAGAUGAGCUCGCGUACCAUUAGCUAGUUGGUGAGGUAAAGGCUCACCAAUGCGACGAUGGUUAGCUGGUCUGAGAGGAUGAUCAGCCACACCGGAACUGGAAGACGGUCCGGACUCCUACGGGAGGCAGCAGUGAGGAAUUUUGCGCAAUGGGGGAAACCCUGACGCAGCAACGCCGCGUGAGUGAUGAAGGCUUUCGGGUCGUAAAGCUCUGUCAGGUGGGAAGAACCCACCAAGUGUUAAGACCACUUGGUGCUGACGGUACCACCGAAGGAAGCACCGGCUAACUCCGUGCCAGCAGCCGCGGUAAUACGGGGGGUGCGAGCGUUAUUCGGAAUCAUUGGGCGUAAAGGGCGCGCAGGCGGUUUUGUAAGUCAGAUGUGAAAUCCCGGGGCUUAACCCCGGAAGUGCAUAUGAAACUAUGAGACUUGAGUAUGGGAGAGGGAAGCGGAAUUCCUGGUGUAGCGGUGAAAUGCGUAGAUAUCAGGAGGAAUACCGGUGGCGAAGGCGGCUUCCUGGACCAAUACUGACGCUGAGGCGCGAAGGCGUGGGGAGCGAACAGGAUUAGAUACCCUUGGUAGUCCACGCAGUAAACGUUGAUCACUAGGUGUAGCGGGUAUUGACCCCU
This 830-nucleotide ribosomal RNA is filed under the name uncultured organism. RNAcentral describes it as "bacterial SSU rRNA". It matches the Rfam family "Bacterial small subunit ribosomal RNA", at positions 38 to 840 of the family's 1533-position model. The record is from RNAcentral.